This 226-nucleotide ribosomal RNA is filed under the name uncultured bacterium. RNAcentral describes it as "partial 16S ribosomal RNA". It matches the Rfam family "Bacterial small subunit ribosomal RNA", at positions 538 to 763 of the family's 1533-position model. The record is from RNAcentral.
GCGUUGUCCGGAUUUACUGGGCGUAAAGCGCGUGUAGGCGGCCGCGUAAGUGGGGUGUGAAAGCCCGGGGCUCAACCCCGGGACGCCGCCCCAUACUGUGUGGCUUGAGGUCGGAAGAGGGGAGUGGAAUUCCUGGUGUAGCGGUGAAAUGCGUAGAGAUCAGGAGGAACCCCCGUGGCGAAGGCGGCUCCCUGGUCCGAUUCUGACGCUGAGACGCGAAAGCGCG